Molecule: ribosomal RNA, 509 nt
Filed under: uncultured bacterium
Lineage: Bacteria
Description: bacterial SSU rRNA
Rfam family: Bacterial small subunit ribosomal RNA
Source: RNAcentral
GGUUCAGGAUGAACGCUAGCUACAGGCUUAACACAUGCAAGUCGAGGGGCAUCAUGGAGUUUGCUUGCAAACUCUGAUGGCGACCGGCGCACGGGUGAGUAACGCGUAUCCAACCUUCCCUAUAGUAGAGGAUAGCCCGGCGAAAGUCGGAUUAAUACUCUAUGUUUUCCGUUGCAGACAUCUAAGAUGGAACAAAGGCUUGCCGCUAUAGGAUGGGGGAUGCGUCUGAUUAGGUAGUCGGCGGGGUAACGGCCCACCGAGCCUUCGAUCAGUAGGGGUUCUGAGAGGAAGGUCCCCCACAUUGGAACUGAGACACGGUCCAAACUCCUACGGGAGGCAGCAGUGAGGAAUAUUGGUCAAUGGGCGCGAGCCUGAACCAGCCAAGUAGCGUGCAGGAUGACGGCCCUAUGGGUUGUAAACUGCUUUUAUGCGGGGAUAAAGUUCACUACGUGUAGUGUUUUGUAGGUACCGCAUGAAUAAGGACCGGCUAAUUCCGUGCCAGCCGCCGC